CCUACGGGAGGCAGCAGUGAGGAAUAUUGGUCAAUGGGCUUACGCCUGAACCAGCCAAGUCGCGUGAGGGAAGACUGCCCUAUGGGUUGUAAACCUCUUUUGUCAGGGAGCAAUUGGCGCUACGUGUAGCGUUAUCGAGAGUACCUGAAGAAAAAGCAUCGGCUAACUCCGUGCCAGCAGCCGCGGUAAUACGGAGGGUGCGAGCGUUAUCCGGAUUUAUUGGGUUUAAAGGGUGCGAAGGCGGACUGCCAAGUCAGCGGUAAAAUCGCGGGGCUCAACCUCGCUCCGCAGUUGAAACUGGCGUUCUUGAGUGGGCGAGAGGUAUGCGGAAUGCGUGGUGUAGCGGUGAAAUGCAUAGAUAUCACGCAGAACUCCGAUUGCGAAGGCAGCAUACCGGCGCCCAACUGACGCUGAGGCACGAAAGCGUGGGUAGCGAACAGGAUUAGAUACCCGGGUAGUC
Molecule: ribosomal RNA, 460 nt
Filed under: uncultured bacterium
Lineage: Bacteria
Description: partial 16S ribosomal RNA
Rfam family: Bacterial small subunit ribosomal RNA
Source: RNAcentral